GAUGAACGCUGGCGGCGUGCUUAACACAUGCAAGUCGAACGAAGCACCUUAUUCUGAUUUCUUCGGAAUGAAAAAUUUGGUGACUGAGUGGCGGACGGGUGAGUAACGCGUGGGUAACCUGCCUCAUACAGGGGGAUACAGUUAGAAAUGACUGCUAAUACCGCAUAAGACCACAGCACCGCAUGGUGCAGGGGUAAAAACUCCGGUGGGAUGAGAUGGACCCGCGUCUGAUUAGGUAGUUGGUGGGGUAACGGCCUACCAAGCCGACGAUCAGUAGCCGACCUGAGAGGGUGACCGGCCACAUUGAGACUGAGACACGGCCCAAACUCCUACGGGAGGCAGCAGUGGGGAAUAUUGCACAAUGGGGGAAACCCUGAUGCAGCGACGCCGCGUGAGCGAUGAAGUAUUUCGGUAUGUAAAGCUCUAUCAGCAGGGAAGAAAAUGACGGUACCUGACUAAGAAGCACCGGCUAAAUACGUGCCAGCCGCCGCCAAAC
RNAcentral lists this ribosomal RNA (496 nucleotides) under uncultured bacterium. Its description in RNAcentral is "partial 16S ribosomal RNA". It matches the Rfam family "Bacterial small subunit ribosomal RNA", at positions 28 to 526 of the family's 1533-position model. The record is from RNAcentral.